CGCCAUUUCAACUUUGUUUUAUAACCUUUUUCGCUAUUUCAACCGUCUCACCUACAAUAUAUAUCAUUUUUAGAAGAUUAAAAUCCUUGAUGUAUGCAAUAAGCAUACAUUUUUUUUGUUGAAACCCAGAAUCUGGUAAAAGACUUACCUCUCCAGACUUAAGCUUUAAACUAGUAAAAGACUCCACAUCCAUUAUGACUCCACUGACCCCUGCGUUGUUCACCUGCCAAGAAUUUACAUCCAUACAUGUUAGUGAACAAUUACCCAUUAGAUAGCUAUAGAUAAAAUUAGUUUCAAUCAAUUUAGUUUGUUUCCAAUCUUACCAAUAUGUUGAACUUUCCGAAUUUAUUUUUGAUGUAAUCUGCUAAAGAUAACAUUCAAAGGCCCAAUUCUGGGUUCUUCUCACAAUUCUUUGUCUGCUUCGACUUCAUAUUCUUCUAUCCAAGUCCAAUCUGGUAAUUUCAUUAAUUACCCACUUUCAUACUUGUAUUUUUGAACUUGAUCAUGAUACCAAUUUGCCUAUAUAUAUGUCUGUUUUGUGAUAGACUGUUAAAAAAUAGCAAAAGUUCAAAUUUUUCCUCUUUAAUUACUAGCUAAAUAGCUCAACAAAGUUGGUCAGAAUCAUUAUUUUUUUCUUGCCUUCAAACUGUUUGAUAAAAUGUCUCUUAGGAAGUACUCAGUGUAAAACACCCUUUUGGACUCGUCCCCUAUUUGGGAUGGAGGACAAAGUCAAAGUUAAAUAAUUCUAAUAAUACAAUUGAUUACUAAGCAAAGCACAUAACCACAUACUUGGAUUUUCCUGAAUAGGCAAUAAACAAUAACAAUAUUGAGCCCUUACUUUUUGGUCCUUGACAGAAAAUGAUGAGUUUAAUCCCCAUAUAGUAAUAAGGAAUCUGAAAAGGACUUGUUAAUGAAAUUGACUAACUGGUCAAAUGAAGUUUAUAAAAUUCAGUAAAGUACAUGGAGGUCAAUAGAUUAAAAGUAAUAAUGAGUUUAUCAUGAAAGAUAAAAGAAAGCAAUAUAUAAAACAAAAAGAAAAGCUGUGUUUUUUCUUCUAUGCAAGUCAAUAAUUCAUAGAAGAUGGAAGGUGUACUAGCUCUUUUCAAGCGGCCAUCAUCAUUGAAGCACUUGGAAUAGUUUGCGAGAGGGUUUAUUGCUUCAGUCUCACUGCUAUGUCCUUUUGGUUAGGAUUCCACUUGCAAGUAGUUCCUGAUACCAUGCAUUUAGUAUUGCUAGUAUAUGUCUUAUUAUUUAAGUAAUAUUUGUUAUCUGCAUUCAAACUUGUUAUGCUAUUAUAUAUCUACAGUGCCUAAAAGGAACAGAUGUUAUUUGUAUGUUGUUUUAAAAACUUGUUGUAGUGAUUCUUGCAAUAUUAGUGGAGCUAAUGAUCCUAGUGGUUUGAUCAUGUAGAUACAGUUACUCUCGAAUAUAAUGAGUGGAAAGAUUAUCUUACAGUUGUACCAUUUGUGGUAACUGUUGUAGCAUCUGUGUCUUUGAUUUCUAUAACUUCUAAGUUGAUCCAUGCAACUUCAGGAUCCUCAGCCCACACGUGUGAUCCGACUAUGAUGUUUACAGUAGUUCCCUGGAUCGUUGAAGAAUCACAGAAAAGAAUGGCAAUGCAGAGAAGCCAAUGGAUUUUUGUUGUCUAGAGAGAGAAUGGCAGUGCUAGUAAGGAAUGAUGGAGUGAAGAUUUGCCGGAAAUAAAAAUUAGACAGAAUGUUGAAAAGAAGAGGAAAUUCUGGUGGUGGUAACUCAAAAGAAAAAAAGGCAGAGAUGCUGACUUGGCACCUUUUUUUUGGCUCAUUCGACACAGGAUGCUAACUUGCCACCAAAAGAAGCAUGCCAGUUGUGUGUAGGCAACACAGGGAAUUCAUGUGCAAUUGAUGCAUGGGAUAGUUUUUAUGUUAAUGCUUAUUGUUGUAACCAUCUGAUGAGUGGACGCUUUGCUUCGCCAAUGUUAAAGGGCUUUAUGUUCCUAAUUAUGGUUGUGCAUUGCUAAUGCCAAGCAGUGGGGAUUACUAGCUGUCAUUGGAGUGGUUAUAAAAUUAUGAAAGUGUCUUAUUACUUAAAUAAUUUGACAUUAA
Molecule: non-coding RNA, 2084 nt
Organism: Camellia sinensis
Lineage: Eukaryota; Viridiplantae; Streptophyta; Magnoliopsida; Ericales; Theaceae
Source: RefSeq, a predicted model, not a curated record